CGGAAGUUGUUGCUCAGUCGCUUCCGGGGCAGGGUGAGGCGAAGGAAGAUUACGAAUGGGUCGCAGUCGCAGCCGCUCCCCUCGGAGGGAAAUGGCUGGCAUUAUGUUUCCAUCGGACGGCGCAGCUCUAGAAAUUUGAAGUAAUGUUUUGCCUCUGCAAAAAGAUUUUGUGUGUUUGUAUUAGAGCGCAGGCGGUCCCGGUCCACGUCCCGUGAGCGAGAACGCAGGCGCCGAGAAAGGUCCCGGUCCCGGGAGAGAGAUCGGCGAAGGAGCCGCUCUCGAUCCCCACACAGAAGACGCUCCAGGUCCCCAAGACGACAUAGAUCCACAUCUCCUUCCCCUUCUCGACUGAAAGAAAGAAGAGAUGAGGAAAAGAAAGAAACAAAAGAAACAAAGAGCAAAGAACGCCAGAUUACUGAGGAGGACUUAGAGGGCAAAACAGAGGAAGAAAUAGAAAUGAUGAAAUUAAUGGGAUUUGCCUCUUUUGACUCCACAAAAGGGAAAAAGGUGGAUGGUUCUGUAAAUGCCUAUGCCAUAAAUGUGUCUCAGAAGAGGAAGUACAGGCAGUACAUGAAUCGAAAAGGCGGAUUCAACAGACCUUUGGAUUUCAUUGCAUGAAAACUGAAAUGAUAAAGAAUGAUUUUUUUUCCUUUACCUUGUUCAGAAGAGUGGAUUUUGUAUUUCAUAUUUAAUAUGCAUAAAAAACAGGAUCACAGUCCUUCCUCCUUGUAAAGUAAGAAAAUUUUUAUUUAUGAUGUAUGCAGUUCACAUACCCUGACUCACAAAAAGGAAAAUUAAAUACUACAUUUUUUUCUUUUAGGAAAUAUCAUUUGGGGCAAUCAGCCCCAUUUUUUUGUUCUUAUUAUUGUGGAAUCUGUAUAUGUUUUCUUCUUGGGUGCACGUUAGGACUUUUUUUAAACACAUAAAAGUAAUUUGGAUAUAAGUUUGUCAAAUAAAGCAAUAUUUCUACCCUUUUGUAUUUGAUAAAUAUUUGUAUUGCUGUAUAAAAUUUUCCCCCUACACAGUUUUUCUCCCCUACGUAGAUUUAGAUUUCAUUAGUAACUUACAAAUAACUGGGGGGUUUUUUGCCCCAAUUAUUUCCUCCAUUUAUUGUUUUUCCCAUUUUAAAAACCAAAUAUGCUUAUUAUAUAAAAACUUGGGAGAAACCAAAAAGCAAAAAGAAGAGCCAAAAAUCACCUAUAUCUAUCCCCAGAAACAAUAUUUUGAUAUAUGUCUUUCCAGCCUCCUAUGGUAUAUAUUUAUUGUCCCUACCCGUUAUAUCAGAAUUUAUAUGCUGUUCUCUUUUGCUAAUCUUUUUUCUCCCAUGUACUGUGAACAGUUUUUAAUACUUACGUGUUAUUUAGAAACUUAACUUUUAGUUAAAUUUAGCUACUUGGUUGUACCAUAAUUUAUUAACUGAUCUUUUAUGAGCAAACAUUGGCUUACCUCCCAUGACUUGCUGUUUUAAUUAAAACUGUGAGUAGUAUUCCUGUUACAUA
RNA transcript from Enhydra lutris kenyoni (northern sea otter), 1499 nucleotides. It is a transcript of the gene named small nuclear ribonucleoprotein U4/U6.U5 subunit 27, with no coding region annotated. The transcript is spliced from 6 exons. The record is from RefSeq and is a predicted model, not a curated record. NCBI's taxonomy places the organism in Eukaryota, Metazoa, Chordata, Mammalia, Carnivora, Mustelidae.